AAAUUUGAAUUUCAUGCCCAAAUGUGUGUGGGGGCGAUCUGUUCUGAUGCCACCUUUUCCCAAGUGAUAGAGAAGGAGGGAACAAGACAAAUAGGUCAAGCAUCUUUGCCAUUUGCAACUCGGUCUACAAUCAGUCAUUCAAUUGUGAAGACAUGGGUCAUGAUAAAACCCACUUUACAAAAUUAAUGUAAGAUGUACUGCAACAUUCCACACUGACAUCAAAUUACGUUAUGUUUUUGCCAUUCUCCAAAUAUAAACCUUUGGAAGAGGAUGCAAAUUUAGACGUAGAUUGCUGCUGAUUCCGUAAGUUAUGUUUCUUAGAGUGAUGACUGCCUCCUUAUUCAAGUGGUCAUGAAAUUUGUUUAAUAUUCUGUUCUUGAAUUUGAAAAGAAGUUAAUAUCAACUUGACUAUCCUGUUUUGUUUUGUUUUUUAAGAAUUGUUCCUCCGACCCCACUC
RNAcentral lists this long non-coding RNA (457 nucleotides) under Felis catus (domestic cat). RNAcentral describes it as "lncRNA (ENSFCAG00000042489.2)". Lineage: Eukaryota; Metazoa; Chordata; Mammalia; Carnivora; Felidae. The record is from RNAcentral.